GCACCACGGUUACUGAGAUGGGAUAAUUCUUCCAACAUGAUGUCUCUGGGGAUGCUGACCUUUUUGCCCAGGUCCAUGCCAUCAACAUCUGUAAAACAAUAUUCAUAUGAGUAAAAAUCCCAAGGUAAAAUUAGAGGAGUCCACUAAUUAUAAAAGUCACAAUAUCAAGAUUUUUGCUUCUGGGAAGAUGAAGUAGAUGUGUUUUUUCCUGUAAAGCUAUUAAAUACAACCUCACAUGUUGGACAUUAUAAGUAAAUAAAUAAAAGACUCUGAAAGUGUAAAGAAAUAGGCAGACAAGCUAGGGACCCCAGGACCCAAGGAACAACAUGGUGAUUAAUACUCUGGGUGUUCUUUUAGCCCCUAAAUCUCAGACUUGAAGCUGAAGAUGAUGGCAACCCAGAAACACCAAGAGGUCCAGACAGACAAAGCACCAACGAAAGGCUGUUCUCUCCAGCUAAAGGACCAGGAAAGGAGCUGCCUCUGCAAGACAGAAAAUGUUUAGACAAUGGCUGCGCUACUUUAGCCAACCACCACAGAAAACACUUUGACUUCGCUCUCACCCACGUUAAGAUCUUGUGGGGAGCCCAGAAUUUCACCCUGUGAGGCUGUAACAAGUUUCUCCAAUACUCCCACUAGGGUGGUGUCAGAGAGACCGAGUGGGAAGUUGGGACUUUCAUUCCUUUUGGCCAGUAACUAGCUCCUUGUCUCCGCAGUCUUAGUGAAGACUACGUGGGAGUCUGAACUCCUGUCCUCUCCCAGCAAUAACAAAGAGGCUCCCCUCAAGUUUCAGUGGAGCCAAAUAGGGAACCCAGACUUCUACAUUCACCUGCAGUAAUGAGUUGGCACUCCUGCUGGAGCAGUGUCAGAUAAGAACAGAUGAAAAAGAAGGUUUAUUUAAAGAGCAAGCAUCUCAGAACAUAAUGUGAAAAUGUCCAGGCUUAAAUUGAAAAUCACUUAUAUAUAUUAUGAAAAUCACUUAUACAAAGAACUAGAAAAAUCUCAAACUGAAUGAAAAAUUAAAAAAAAAAUCAAAUGCCAACACUGGGAUGACUGAGAUAUUAAAACUAUCUGACAAAUAUUUUAAAGUACCCAUAAUUUAAAACAAUGCUUCAGAAAGCAGUUAGGAAACCACUUGAAACAAAUUCUUUAAAUGGAAAGGUUUUUUUUUUUUUUGCCAAUGACUCCAUCAGCAGCAGCAAAAAAAAAAAAAAAAAAAAUCUCAGUCGAGAAAUAAAAGAUAUAAAGAACAAAACAAAAAUUUUAGAACUCAAAAUAUAAUAACCUGAGUAAAAAGCUCAGUGAAUGGGCUCAAUAGUAAAAUAGAGGGGGCAAAUGAGAAAAAUCACUUAGCUGUUAGAAUAGAAUUUCCCCAAUAAGACCAACACAGAGAAAAAUAGACUUGAAAACAAAUGAACGAGGUAUUCUUAGGGAUUCAUGGGACUCUAAUAAAAGAUAUAGCAUUCAUGUCAUUGAAGUUCCAGAAGGAGAGGAAAAAUAAGGGGAGGCUGGAAAAGUACUUAAAGAAAUCACGGCUGAAAAAUGUCCUAAAGUUGACAAGAGAUAUAAACUUACAGAUUCGAGAAGCUAAGAGAACCCUAAACAUAAUAAACCUGAAUAACUCACAACAAGACUUAUAAUUAAGCUUCUGAAAACUAAAGACAAAGAGAAAAUAUUGAAAGCCACCAGAGGAAAACAACUUACUUAUAUAAGGGGAAAAUAACUAGAAUAAUAGUGGAUUUCUCAUCAGAAACCAUGGAGGCCAAAAGGAAGUUGUACCAUAUUUUUCUAGGUGCUGCAAGAAAAGAAUUGUCAACCCAGAAUCCCAUACCCAGUGAAAUAUAUCCUGCAAGAAAUAAAGGGGAACUUGAGACAUCCUCAGAUGAAGGAAAACUAAGAGAAUUUGUUGCCUGAAAGCCUACCCUAAAAGAAUGACUAAAUGAAGUUUUCUUAAAACAGAAAGGAAACAAUAAAAGAAGGAAGCCUGGAACAUCAGAGAUAAAGAAGGUAUAUAGUAAGCAGAAAUAUAGCUAUAUACAAUAGGCUUCCCUUCUCCUCUUGGGCUUUCUAAAUUAUAUUUUAUUGUAGAAGCCAAAAUUAUAAUACUGACUGAUGUAAAUGUAUGUAGAAGAAAUACUUAAGACAAUUAUUUUAUAAACAGGAGAGGAUAAAAAGACAUCAAAGUAGAUUUUUUUUUUUUUUGAGACAGAGUCUUACUCUGUCACCCAGGCUGGAGUGCAGUGACCCGAUCUUGGCUCACUGCAACCUUCGCCUCCCAGGUUCAAGUGAUUCUCCUGCCUCAGCCUCCCGAGUAGCUGGGAUUACAAGUGCCUGCCACCACCACACCCAGCCAAUUUUUGUUUUUUUAGUAGGGACGGGGUUUCUCCACGUUGGCCAGGCUGGUCUCGAACUCCUGACCUCAAGUGAUCCGCCCACCUCGGUCUCCCAAAGUGCUGGGAUUACAGGCAUGAGCCACCGUGCCUGGCCAAAAGUAGAUAAAUUUUCUAUACUUGCACUGGUAAAAUGACAACAUCAGUAGACUGUGAUAAGUUAUGCAUAUAUAAUGCAAUACUUAGAGCAACUCCUGAAAGCUAUAUGAACAGAUACAUUUGAAAACACUAUACCAAAAUGAAACUCUGAAGUAAUCUCCAGGAAGGCAGAAAAAAAAAACAGGAAUGUAAAACAGAGAUGACAAAUAGAAAACUAAAAAUAAAAUUACAUACUUAAGCUCUAAGACAUUAAUAAAUUAAAUGUAAAUAAUCUAAAUACAUCAAUUGAUGUCAGAUUGGAUUAAAGGUGAACCAACUAUGGUUUGUUGGACGAUGCUGCCUACAUGAAACUCACUGCCUAUGAUAACAUUAUAAGCAAGUGAAAGUAACAGAUUGGAAAAAUAUAUAUCAAGCAACAUCAACCAAAUAUUACCUGAUAUUAAUAUCAGAUAAAAUCACAGCAACAAAGAUUACCAGAAACAGAGGAGGGCAUUAUAUAAUGAUUAAAGUGCGAAUCCACAAAGAUUGCCUAGAAAUCCCAAAUGUACAUGCACCAAAAACAGAGCUAUAAAAUAUUUAAAGUAAAAAAGUAGAACUAAAAGGAGAAAUAGACAAAUCUACAAUUAUAGUUGGAAACUUCAAUCCCCCCAUCUCAGCAGAUGAUAGAACAACUAGGCAGAAGAGCAGUAAGAAUAUAAAAUUCUACAAUAUUAGCAACGAAUAGGACUUAAUUGACAUUUAUAUUUUAUUCAACAACAAUAGAACACACAUUUCUUUCAAGUGCCAGUGGAAUAUAUAUCAAGAUAGACCAUAUCCUGGGCUAUAAAAUAAACCUCAACAAAUUAAAAUGGUUAAAUUAUUCAGAUUGUUAGCGCUGAUCACAAUAAAACCGAACUAGAAAUUAGUAACAGAAUGAUAACAGGAAAAUCUCCAAACACUUGGAAACUAAUCAACAUACUUCUAAAUAGUUCAUGGGACAAAAAGGAAGUCUCAAAGGAAAUUAAAAAUUCAGUGAACUAAACGAAUUUGAAAAUACAGCAUAUCAAAAUUUAUGGGAAACAGUCAACACAGUGCUGAGAGGAAUAUUUAUAGCACUAAAUGCACAGUUAAAAAAGAAAAAAGUAUCAAAUCAAUAAAUAAGUGUCUACCCCAAAAAAUCUAAAAAAAAAAGAUGAACAAAAUAAACUCAAAGCAAGCAGAACGAAA
This is a long non-coding RNA of Homo sapiens (human), 3692 nucleotides long. RefSeq annotates it as MYOZ2 antisense RNA 1. The record is from RefSeq and is a predicted model, not a curated record. Lineage: Eukaryota; Metazoa; Chordata; Mammalia; Primates; Hominidae. The transcript is spliced from 2 exons.